GUCCCCAUCGUCUAGUGGCCUAGGACACCGGCCUUUCACGCCGGUAACCAGGGUUCGACUCCCUGUGGGGACGCCA
RNAcentral lists this transfer RNA (76 nucleotides) under Deltaproteobacteria bacterium HGW-Deltaproteobacteria-19. RNAcentral describes it as "tRNA-Glu". It matches the Rfam family "tRNA". Rfam says of the family: Transfer RNA (tRNA) molecules are approximately 80 nucleotides in length. Their secondary structure includes four short double-helical elements and three loops (D, anti-codon, and T loops). Further hydrogen bonds mediate the characteristic L-shaped molecular structure. tRNAs have two regions of fundamental functional importance: the anti-codon, which is responsible for specific mRNA codon recognition, and the 3' end, to which the tRNAs corresponding amino acid is attached (by aminoacyl-tRNA synthetases). tRNAs cope with the degeneracy of the genetic code in two manners: having more than one tRNA (with a specific anti-codon) for a particular amino acid; and 'wobble' base-pairing, i.e. permitting non-standard base-pairing at the 3rd anti-codon position. Lineage: Bacteria; Deltaproteobacteria. The record is from RNAcentral. RNAcentral also lists the same sequence under 2 other names.